Molecule: ribosomal RNA, 642 nt
Filed under: uncultured bacterium
Lineage: Bacteria
Description: bacterial SSU rRNA
Rfam family: Bacterial small subunit ribosomal RNA
Source: RNAcentral
AUAACAAUCAGAAAUGACUGCUAAUACCGCAUAAGACCACAGCACCGCAUGGUGCAGGGGUAAAAACUCCGGUGGUACAGGAUGGACCCGCGUCUGAUUAGCUGGUUGGUGAGGUAACGGCUCACCAAGGCGACGAUCAGUAGCCGGCUUGAGAGAGUGAACGGCCACAUUGGGACUGAGACACGGCCCAAACUCCUACGGGAGGCAGCAGUGGGGAAUAUUGCACAAUGGGGGGAACCCUGAUGCAGCGACGCCGCGUGAGUGAAGAAGUAUUUCGGUAUGUAAAGCUCUAUCAGCAGGGAAGAAAAUGACGGUACCUGACUAAGAAGCCCCGGCUAACUACGUGCCAGCAGCCGCGGUAAUACGUAGGGGGCAAGCGUUAUCCGGAAUUACUGGGUGUAAAGGGUGCGUAGGUGGUAUGGCAAGUCAGAAGUGAAAACCCAGGGCUUAACUCUGGGACUGCUUUUGAAACUGUCAGACUGGAGUGCAGGAGAGGUAAGCGGAAUUCCUAGUGUAGCGGUGAAAUGCGUAGAUAUUAGGAGGAACACCAGUGGCGAAGGCGGCUUACUGGACUGAAACUGACACUGAGGCACGAAAGCGUGGGGAGCAAACAGGAUUAGAUACCCUGGUAGUCCACGCCGU